GCUCCUAAAGGAUAAUAGCUUAUCCAUUGGUCUUAGGAACCAAAAAUCUUGGUGCAAAUCCAAGUAGUAGCU
This 72-nucleotide transfer RNA is filed under the name Fundulopanchax scheeli. Its description in RNAcentral is "tRNA-Leu". It matches the Rfam family "tRNA". From Rfam's summary of the family: Transfer RNA (tRNA) molecules are approximately 80 nucleotides in length. The record is from RNAcentral. Lineage: Eukaryota; Metazoa; Chordata; Actinopteri; Cyprinodontiformes; Nothobranchiidae.